GUAGGUGGCAAGCGUUGUCCGGAAUUAUUGGGCGUAAAGCGCGCGCAGGCGGUCCUUUAAGUCUGAUGUGAAAGCCCACGGCUCAACCGUGGAGGGUCAUUGGAAACUGGAGGACUUGAGUACAGAAGAGGAAAGCGGAAUUCCAAGUGUAGCGGUGAAAUGCGUAGAGAUUUGGAGGAACACCAGUGGCGAAGGCGGCUUUCUGGUCUGUAACUGACGCUGAGGCGCGAAAGCGUGGGGAGCAAACAGGGAUUAGAUACCCUGGUAGUCCACGCCGUAAACGAUGAGUGCUAAGUGUUAGGGGGGUUUCCGCCCCCUUAGUGCUGCAGCUAACGCAUUAAGCACUCCGCCUGGGGAGUACGGCCGCAAGGCUG
Molecule: ribosomal RNA, 374 nt
Filed under: uncultured organism
Description: partial 16S ribosomal RNA
Rfam family: Bacterial small subunit ribosomal RNA
Source: RNAcentral